Syngnathus typhle (broad-nosed pipefish) is the source of this 986-nucleotide long non-coding RNA. RefSeq lists it as uncharacterized. The record is from RefSeq and is a predicted model, not a curated record. The transcript is spliced from 4 exons. NCBI's taxonomy places the organism in Eukaryota, Metazoa, Chordata, Actinopteri, Syngnathiformes, Syngnathidae.
CAUGCUAGCUUACCGGAGAAAACGCCUGCGUGUCGCACCUCUAUAUGAAAACUUCCCUUGAGCACACAGCGUUUCCGAUUCAUGACGUCACAUCCGCCAAUUCAAAUCUUCCUCGCCUGCUCGUCCAAUGGCGCUUCGCACACUCGCGUACCACGUGACAGGCCACCGCAUUAAGGAAAAAUCACGGAACUGAAAGUGAAGUGUCCAUGCCAGUGACAGAAGGGCAACCAACGCUCACCUCAAGACUGAAAACUGCCUUCAAAAACAGAGGUAGGAGGCGGGCAGUGGCACAGGGUUUUUUCAGUCUUGAGGUGCGUGUUGGUUGCUCUUUUGUCACUGACAUCGUUACGACACUUUGGUCGAGUGGUUAAUGUCAUUGCCUCUGACACGAUGGAGCUAGUGUUCGAGACCUGGCCGUGGUCUCUCCUUUGUCAAUUUCAAUUUUGUUAAAAAAAGGUGCUUAAGGUUUGGUGUUAGGUGCUUAAUGUCUAAUGGGGUUAGGUGCUUAAGGUCUAAUGGGGUUAGGGUUUGGUGUUUGAAGCAGCAUUGUUGUUGUAGUGCCGGUUCCCAUAUCUUUACCUUCCAAGAAGAGCUGGAGAAAAACAUGCGACGGGAGCGGGGAAUGUGAUUGAAGACAGCCUUGGCGCCAUUCAUCCGAGAGCCUUUUGACAAUGUUUGGCAGUCGCCGUGGCGGGAUCAGAGUCAGGGACCCUCCUGUCCCGCGGUGAGCUCAGCGUGUGGUCGGGACCUGUCAUAAGCCUCCCAAGCCAAGCCAACUCAACUGUCACGCCGUAACCCCCUCAGUCAGACGUCAAAAUGUUCCGGCUGUGCCGUGAGGAAUUAAAAGGAACUUUUGAAUCACGUUGUCGUGGGAGGUCGACUCAACUGGCCAUUGUCAGGUGGCGAGCAGAGGGAUGCAAGCUUUCCUCCCGAUUGCGGAUGCACUGGGCGGCCUGCACUUCUCCUUCGACGUGGACCCAUUUGCC